AAUUAGAACCACCAUAUUUACUUUUGAUUCAAACCUGAAAAAUCAAAUCAAUUGUUCAUACGUUACAAGAAUAAAAGAUACCCAUUAACAACAACAUUAUUUCUGCUUACCAAUCCUUAAAUGUUGGGCUAUAUAAACCCUCAAAAUUUUUACUUUGCACAGGUUCCCAGUGGUUGCCAGUCUCCCUCUUCUCUAUCAAGGUUCAUUAGUUCAAGUUGUUGUUGUGAACUAUAGAUUCGUAGAAAAACCAACAUCGGUCUCAGGUAAUGUAAUUGAGUUCCAAAAAAUGAGUUAGAUUUUAUGGAUGCGGAUGAUGUCGUCACGAUGGAUGACAAUUAAAAUUGGCAACGGUUCAUAAUACGUAUAUUUUUUUUCGAGUACAAUGGGCAAGGGUUCAUGAUAAACCAAGGCAAAAUUACUGUUUCCACGGAGGAAACAAUCACUUCAAGGAAAUUGUUUGGGAUGAUUAUCCAUUGUUCUAAGUUGGAUACUGAAGACAUAUAUCUAAAGUGACCAGUUUCAUAGUGAUCAUGUGGUUUUUAACAUCUUCAUUUAUGCAUGCCGAGAUUGUCAAGAAAUGCAGCCAUUACAGUUAAUAGAUUAGCGAGGUAUAUGUGUCUGUUCACCGAGCUUUCCUUUUUAAUUAUGGUAAGUUAUGGAGGUAUCUUCAACUAUCAGUCGGUCUAGAUUCUUAUUAAAGAAGAAAAUUCUCCUUUUUUGCUUUUUUGGUCACCACUCUAGUGGAGAUGAGAUAAUUAAUUAGUUAUAGCCACAAAUGAAAGAGGUCAUGGAAGACAGGUAGCUAUUUACACAUAUGAAAAUAAUUCCCGAUACACUUAAAGAGAGGUUGUUGUUUGUUUGUGUAAUGGUUAGUAUAGCUCUGGAUAUUCAUAUACUCCAAUGACCCCAAGCUAAAAUUUAAUUUUCGAUUAGCGGGAAAUAAUUCAAACAACCAGGACGUGGUGCUACACCUAUGAUCACACUUGAUGCGGAAGUGGUGGUAGAGCUGGAGGAAAAAUGGCAAGAGUUGGGAAUUUCAACACCUUCAACAGGUUGUGGGCUUUAGUAAAUGUCGGAGGCAAUGUGGGUUUUCUUUCACCAUUUCCUAUUCAAGAGAUAAAUUGCAAAACGGUUUCCCCAAAAACAUCCCAUUUGGAAGUUUAAUAAUAAGCAAAUCGGAGAAGAGAGUUUGUAUUCUCUAGACAAAGUGCAUUUGAGCCUUCACUAACCUAAUUUCCAUCCAACCAACAGUGAUCGGAACACAGCUGUUUACUCUAUGGAUGCCUACGUACGCUACGUCCAUUCCCUUACAAAUUCUGCUUCACCCAGUCAGAAGACUUGGAGUUGAAAAUGCAAUAUCUAUCUUGCCAGUUUGAAGACAAGGAGUUGAUACCUAAGUUAUGUUAUAUUCAAGUUCACAAUCGAUUCUAAACCCACGCCACUGCCAUCAGCCAUGUUACUCGGCAAUAAAUUUUGCUAACAAAUGCAAGUUUUUCUUAUUUAGUUUGCUCGCAAAAAAGAAAAGGAAAAAAAGUGCAUAAGAUUUGUAUGUUUUCUAAACUAACUUUAAAUGAUCAAUUAUCAAUAUCUUGAUCAGUUCCUCGA
This is a long non-coding RNA of Papaver somniferum (opium poppy), 1605 nucleotides long. RefSeq lists it as uncharacterized. The transcript has 7 exons. The record is from RefSeq and is a predicted model, not a curated record. NCBI's taxonomy places the organism in Eukaryota, Viridiplantae, Streptophyta, Magnoliopsida, Ranunculales, Papaveraceae.